This 431-nucleotide ribosomal RNA is filed under the name uncultured bacterium. RNAcentral's name for it is "bacterial SSU rRNA". It matches the Rfam family "Bacterial small subunit ribosomal RNA", at positions 920 to 1345 of the family's 1533-position model. The record is from RNAcentral.
GACCCCGCACAAGCAGUGGAGCAUGUGGUUUAAUUCGAAGAUACGCGCAGAACCUUACCAACGCUUGACAUGUUCGUCGCGAGACUAAGAGAUUAGUUUCUUCAGUUCGGCUGGACGAAACACAGGUGCUGCAUGGCUGUCGUCAGCUCGUGUCGUGAGAUGUUGGGUUAAGUCCCGCAACGAGCGCAACCCCCUACUUUUAGUUGCCACCAUUUAGUUGGGCACUUUAAAAGAACUGCCAGUGAUAAGCUGGAGGAAGGUGGGGAUGACGUCAAGUCCUCAUGGCCCUUAUGUGUUGGGCUACACACGUGCUACAAUGGCACUUACAAUGGGAAGCAAAGAGGUGACUCUAAGCUAAUCCCUAAAAUGUACCUCAGUUCGGAUUGUACUCUGUAACUCGAGUGCAUGAAGCUGGAAUUGCUAGUAAUCGC